Pelobates cultripes (western spadefoot toad) is the source of this 235-nucleotide non-coding RNA. NCBI's taxonomy places the organism in Eukaryota, Metazoa, Chordata, Amphibia, Anura, Pelobatidae. The record is from the annotation of a GenBank genome assembly.
GUGGGAUCCUCCAUUACAUCAGUGUUGUUCUCUCACUCGUGUGCUAGACUAGAGCACUGACGUGGGCUCCUGGCAGAUGGCAUGCCAGGAUCUGAAGAUAUAAGAUGGCAGCGCCUGUGGGGGCAGCAUCCGGUAUGUGUCUCCCUUACACUGCACCCCCAGUGGGGAUGUCACCAUCAGGAGGGGGUCUGUUUGCAAAACAUGCAAGGACCCAAGAAACUGAAAGCGCCACUUU